UGGUGGGCGACGUCGUGACGAAUCUGGUAUAAAUAUGAUUUGUUCGCGUUGCUCAACCACA
Molecule: microRNA precursor, 61 nt
Filed under: Caenorhabditis brenneri
Lineage: Eukaryota; Metazoa; Nematoda; Chromadorea; Rhabditida; Rhabditidae
Description: microRNA cbn-mir-356 precursor
Gene: cbn-mir-356
Source: miRBase by way of RNAcentral